This 433-nucleotide ribosomal RNA is filed under the name uncultured bacterium. Its description in RNAcentral is "partial 16S ribosomal RNA". It matches the Rfam family "Bacterial small subunit ribosomal RNA", at positions 29 to 507 of the family's 1533-position model. The record is from RNAcentral.
AACGAACGCUGGCGGCAUGCCUAACACAUGCAAGUCGAACGGGACCUUCGGGUCUAUGUGCGCACGGCUGCGUAACACCGGGGAACCUACCCUUAGGUUCCGAGUACCUCCCCGUAGGGGGUGCUAAUGCCGGAUAGUGUCUUCGCGCCAAAGAUGUAUCGCCGUUGGAUGGGCCCGCGUUGGAUUAGCUAGUUGGUAGUGUAAAAGCCUACCAAGGCCAGGUUGCAUAGCUGGUCUGAGAAGAUGAUACGUUACAAUUGAGAUGCGACACGGACCAGUACGGUAGGGAAGGGAGGAGUGGGGUAUAUUGGAGAAUGGGCGAAAGCCUGAUAAAGCAGUGUGGGGUGAGUGAUGAAGGCGGUAGGAUUGUAAAGCUGUUUGACCCGGGAUGAUAAUGACGGUACCGGGAGAAUAAGCUCCGGCUAACUCCGUG